Molecule: long non-coding RNA, 212 nt
Organism: Daphnia pulex (common water flea)
Lineage: Eukaryota; Metazoa; Arthropoda; Branchiopoda; Diplostraca; Daphniidae
Exons: 3
Source: RefSeq, a predicted model, not a curated record
AAUUACCAAAUUGAACUUUGUAUCAUAUUUCAUUUAUGCAUACUGUCAGUCAUUCCAACAAGUUGACUUAGCGCUCAGUCAAUUUUGAUCCAUUAAUCCUCAUGCAGCCAAAAGCCUAAAACUGAUGUUUCACAUAUAGUGGAAUAGAAAUGUGCAGAGAUAAGGAUCUUUUCUGAAUCUCGCAAUUUUGGUGGCGUACCCUGCAACAGCAU